CUUUCCCAAAGUUUCUGAAAGUUGGCAUAUGUUUAAUUUGCAAGAAAUUACGUUUUCUGGCCUUAUUUCACAGUGGCAGUGCCUUCCUGUUUUCCUGCAUCUCUUCUUACUUUGGAAAAGCUGGGAGAGGGACCAGAGCCAGCUGCAGAACAAGCUUUUGUCACCGUGUAGUCUAUGAAAUGCGGCCUGUCAUCUGACGAGUGCUAAGCAAAGUCUCCUUAUUAAGACAGAAGCAUUUGGAUGGCGGAGUAUUACGUUUCAUUCUGGACAGCUUAAAUCCAAGGAGGCUCUGCAGAUCAGAUGCAUCCGGCAGCACCAUCUGAGACAGGCUGCUCCUCAGCUCUCUAUCACGACACCGUUUUCAGCAAAACUGAGCAAAGUAGCCCAUACUGGUUGCUCCCAGUUUGACCACUUCUGUGAGCUGAGUGAUGGUCUUUGC
Molecule: non-coding RNA, 439 nt
Organism: Maylandia zebra (zebra mbuna)
Lineage: Eukaryota; Metazoa; Chordata; Actinopteri; Cichliformes; Cichlidae
Source: RefSeq, a predicted model, not a curated record